UUAUCAUAUUAUUUUUUUUGUAUGACACUUAAAUUUGAUUUUAGUUAGUGUAAAAAGAUAAUAUAAUAUUAUAUAAAAGUUUUUAAAUGAGGUUUUAGUAAUUUUAAUUAAAAAUUUAGAUUAUUAAAAAGAUUUGGUUAAAUUUGUGCCAGCCACCGCGGUUAGACAUGAAAUUCAAUUUUUAUGAUAAUAAUAAUAAUUUUAAUAAGAGCUUAGAAAAAUAUAUUUUGAAUAUUGAAGUGAAAUUUAUUACAAAACUUUAUUCUUUUUUUUUAUUAUUAUUGAAGUAAUAAAAGACCAGGAUUAGAUACCCUGUUAUAAAAAUAAAUUUAUUAGGGUAGUAAUAUUUGAAACCUAAAAAAUUUGGCGGUAUUUAAGGCAUUCUAGAGGAACUUGUAACAUAAGUGAUAAUCCUCGUUAAAAUUUACUUUUUUUAUUAAUUUGUAUAUCGUCGUUGUCAGGAUUUUUUAUAAAAUUUUUCCUAGAAAAAGAUACUAAGAAUGUCAGAUCAAGAUGCAGUUUAUGGAGAAGUGUUUAUGAGUUACAAUAAUUUAAAUUAUACUAAUUUUAUUUUUAAAAAUAAAUGAAGGUGGAUUUAGGAAUAAUAAUUUUUUAGAAAGUUUUUGUGAAGAAUUAAAUGCUCUAAAAUGUGCACAUAUUGCCCGUCAUUUUCAUUUUUGAAACAAGUCGUAACAAAGUGGUUGUAUCGGAAGCUGCAGCUA
Molecule: non-coding RNA, 722 nt
Filed under: Campodea fragilis
Lineage: Eukaryota; Metazoa; Arthropoda; Diplura; Rhabdura; Campodeidae
Source: RNAcentral